This 879-nucleotide ribosomal RNA is filed under the name uncultured archaeon. Its description in RNAcentral is "bacterial SSU rRNA". It matches the Rfam family "Archaeal small subunit ribosomal RNA", at positions 124 to 995 of the family's 1478-position model. The record is from RNAcentral.
GAUAACCUCCUGGAAACUGGGGAUAAUACCGGAUAACGCAUAUGUGCUGGAAUGCUUUAUGCGUAAAACGGAUUCGUCCGCCCAAGGAUGGGUCUGCGGCCUAUCAGGUAGUAGUGGGUGUAAUGUACCUACUAGCCAACAACGGGUACGGGUUGUGAGAGCAAGAGCCCGGAGAUGGGUUCUGAGACAUGAAUCCAGGCCCUACGGGGCGCAGCAGGCGCGAAAACUUUACAAUGCGGGAAACCGUGAUAAGGGAACACCGAGUGCCAGCAUCAUAUGCUGGCUGUCCAGAUGUGUAAACUACAUCUGUUAGCAAGGGCCGGGCAAGACCGGUGCCAGCCGCCGCGGUAACACCGGCGGCCCGAGUGGUGACCGUUAUUAUUGGGUCUAAAGGGUCCGUAGCCGGUUUGGUCAGUCCUCCGGGAAAUCUGAUAGCUUAACUGUUAGGCUUUCGGGGGAUACUGCCAGGCUUGGAACCGGGAGAGGUAAGAGGUACUACAGGGGUAGGAGUGAAAUCUUGUAAUCCCUGUGAGACCACCUGUGGCGAAGGCGUCUUACCAGAACGGGUUCGACGGUGAGGGACGAAAGCUGGGGGCACGAACCGGAUUAGAUACCCGGGUAGUCCCAGCCGUAAACUAUGCUCGCUAGGUGUCUAGCAUGGCGCGACCGUGUCUGGUGCCGCAGGGAAGCCGUGAAGCGAGCCACCUGUGAAGUACGGCCGCAAGGCUGAAACUUUAAAGGAAUUGGCGGGGGAGCACAACAACGGGUGGAGCCUGCGGUUUAAUUGUACUCAACGCCGGGACAACUCACCGGGGGACGACAGCAAAAUGUAGGGCCAGGCUGAAGACAUUGCCUGCACUCAUCUGAGAGGAGGUGCAU